Long non-coding RNA from Neopsephotus bourkii (Bourke's parrot), 294 nucleotides. RefSeq lists it as uncharacterized. Lineage: Eukaryota; Metazoa; Chordata; Aves; Psittaciformes; Psittacidae. The record is from RefSeq and is a predicted model, not a curated record. The transcript has 2 exons.
GGUGCAAUGAUUCUGCAAGCUCUCUGAACAUCAGUGGCUUCAGGCAAAAUCAGAACCACGGUAUGUCAAACAGGGCCACGGGAGAGGAGAACUGAGGUUUCAUUGCAAACAGAAUGGUUUACAGUGCCUUGAAUGGACAGCAUUCAACUUCCAAAAGCUCACCUGUUUGUGAAGAACGCCACCCAUGGGAAACUUCUGUUGUGAGUCUCUACAAAAAUGCACUGUGCAAAGAGAUUUGGGGAGCAGCUGUGCUGUAAAACAGAAUAUUUGAAUUAGAAACAGUACACCUCAUAA